ACGGCUCAGUAACACGUGGACAAUCUGCCCUCGAGACGGGGAUAAUCCCGGGAAACUGGGGAUAAUACCCGAUAGACCGGAGGUGAUGGAAUGCCCUCCUGUCCAAACCCUGCGGGGCCCGAGGAUGGGUCUGCGGCCUAUCAGGUCGUAGGGGGUGUCACGGACCCCCUAGCCGAAGACGGGUACGGGCUUUGGGAGAAGUCGCCCGGAGAUGGAUUCUGAGACACGAAUCCAGGUCCUACGGGACGCAGCAGGCGCGAAACCUCCACACUGUGGGAAACCACGAUGGGGGAACUCCAAGUGCCUACACUUAGUGUAGGCUGUUCUCGAGCCUAAAAAGCUCGAGAAGUAAGGGCCGGGUAAGACGGGUGCCAGCCGCCGCGGUAAUACCCGCGGCCCGAGUGGUGCUCAUUAUUAUUGAGCCUAAAGCGUCCGUAGCUGGCCGGGCAAAUCUCCGGGUAAAUCGGGCGGCUCAACCGUCCGAACGCCGGAGACACUGCUCGGCUUGGGAUCGGGAGAGGGUGAAGGUACUCCCGGGGUAGGGGUAAAAUCCUGUAAUCCGGGGGGGACCACCAGUGGCGAAGGCGUUCACCUAGAACGAGUCCGACAGUGAGGGACGAAGCCCUAGGGCGCAAACGGGAUUAGAUACCCCGGUAGUCUAGGGUGUAAACGCUGCAGACUUGGUGUUGGGGGUCCUGCGUGGGCUCCCAGUGUCGGAGCGAAGGUGUUAAGUCUGCCGCUUGGGGAGUACGGUCGCAAGACUGAAACUUAAAGGAAUUGGCGGGGGAG
This 789-nucleotide ribosomal RNA is filed under the name uncultured archaeon. Its description in RNAcentral is "bacterial SSU rRNA". It matches the Rfam family "Archaeal small subunit ribosomal RNA", at positions 85 to 876 of the family's 1478-position model. The record is from RNAcentral.